UACAGAGGUCCCGAGCGUUUGUUCGGAUUCAUUGGGCGUAAAGGGUGCGUAGGCGGCCCUGUAAGUCAGUGGUGAAAUGCUCUAGCUUAACUAGAGAGGUGCCAAUGAUACUGCAGGGCUUGAGUACAGAUGAGGUAGGCGGAAUUGACGGUGUAGCGGUGAAAUGCAUAGAUAUCGUCAAGAACACCUAUAGCGAAGGCAGCUUACUGGGCUGUAACUGACGCUGAGGCACGAAAGUGUGGGGAUCAAACAGG
Molecule: ribosomal RNA, 254 nt
Filed under: uncultured bacterium
Lineage: Bacteria
Description: partial 16S ribosomal RNA
Rfam family: Bacterial small subunit ribosomal RNA
Source: RNAcentral